This 496-nucleotide ribosomal RNA is filed under the name uncultured bacterium. Its description in RNAcentral is "partial 16S ribosomal RNA". It matches the Rfam family "Bacterial small subunit ribosomal RNA", at positions 28 to 507 of the family's 1533-position model. The record is from RNAcentral.
GAUGAACGCUGGCGGCGUGCCUAAUACAUGCAAGUCGAGCGAACAGACGAGGAGCUUGCUCCUCUGACGUUAGCGGCGGACGGGUGAGUAACACGUGGAUAACCUACCUAUAAGACUGGGAUAACUUCGGGAAACCGGAGCUAAUACCGGAUAAUAUAUUGAACCGCAUGGUUCAAUAGUGAAAGACGGUUUUGCUGUCACUUAUAGAUGGAUCCGCGCCGCAUUAGCUAGUUGGUAAGGUAACGGCUACCAAGGCAACGAUGCGUAGCCGACCUGAGAGGGUGAUCGGCCACACUGGAACUGAGACACGGUCCAGACUCCUACGGGAGGCAGCAGUAGGGAAUCUUCCGCAAUGGGCGAAAGCCUGACGGAGCAACGCCGCGUGAGUGAUGAAGGUCUUCGGAUCGUAAAACUCUGUUAUUAGGGAAGAACAAAUGUGUAAGUAACUGUGCACGUCUUGACGGUACCUAAUCAGAAAGCCACGGCUAACUACGUG